UGGGGAAUAUUGGACAAUGGGCGAAAGCCUGAUCCAGCCAUGCCGCGUGAGUGAUGAAGGCCUUAGGGUUGUAAUGCUCUUUUGGCGGGGACGAUAAUGACGGUACCCGCAGAAUAAGCCCCGGCUAACUUCGUGCCAGCAGCCGCGGUAAUACGAAGGGGGCUAGCGUUGUUCGGAAUUACUGGGCGUAAAGCGCACGUAGGCGGAUCAGCAAGUCAGGGGUGAAAUCCCGGGGCUCAACCUCGGAACUGCCUCUGAUACUGCUAGUCUAGAGUCCGGAAGAGGUGGGUGGAAUUCCUAGUGUAGAGGUGAAAUUCGCAGAUAUUAGGAAGAACACCGGUGGCGAAGGCGGCCCACUGGUCCGGUACUGACGCUGAGGUGCGAAAGCGUGGGAGCAAACAGGAUUAGAUACCCCAGUAGUCCCUGAGCGGGCUGGCAAGGCGCAU
This 446-nucleotide ribosomal RNA is filed under the name uncultured bacterium. RNAcentral's name for it is "bacterial SSU rRNA". It matches the Rfam family "Bacterial small subunit ribosomal RNA", at positions 355 to 825 of the family's 1533-position model. The record is from RNAcentral.